This 104-nucleotide non-coding RNA is filed under the name Staphylococcus arlettae. Its description in RNAcentral is "SAM riboswitch (S box leader)". It matches the Rfam family "SAM riboswitch aptamer (S box leader)". From Rfam's summary of the family: The SAM riboswitch is found upstream of a number of genes which code for proteins involved in methionine or cysteine biosynthesis in Gram-positive bacteria. Lineage: Bacteria; Bacillati; Bacillota; Bacilli; Caryophanales; Staphylococcaceae. The record is from RNAcentral.
UCUUAUUGAGAGUGAGUGAAGGGAAUUGGCCCUAUGAUACUCCGGCAACAGCAUUAUUUGAUGCGAUGUGCCAAAUCCAACAGGUAGUAACCUGAAUGAUAAGA